CGACCUGGUGGCUAUGGCGGGGAAACUACACCCGAUCCCAUCCCGAACUCGGACGUGAAAUGCCCCAGCGCCCAUGGUACUGCAUCUCAAGAUGCGGGAGAGUAGGUCGCCGCCAGGUCUUC
This 122-nucleotide ribosomal RNA is filed under the name Granulibacter bethesdensis. RNAcentral also lists the same sequence under 2 other names. Lineage: Bacteria; Pseudomonadati; Pseudomonadota; Alphaproteobacteria; Acetobacterales; Acetobacteraceae. The record is from RNAcentral.